Long non-coding RNA from Ipomoea nil (Japanese morning glory), 331 nucleotides. RefSeq lists it as uncharacterized. The transcript has 3 exons. The record is from RefSeq and is a predicted model, not a curated record. Lineage: Eukaryota; Viridiplantae; Streptophyta; Magnoliopsida; Solanales; Convolvulaceae.
CUUUCCUCUUUCGUGUGUUUCAUCUGCAGAAAAGCCGCUGCUAGUGCUUCCUUUUUCCAUUUGAAGGCUGAUUUUUAAAGCUGUCAGAAGAGUAUGACUAUACUUAUUUCAUAUUCAAGACAUGCACAAUGUAAGAGUUUGUACUCACUGUAUAUUCCUCCAAGUUGAUUCACUGCAUCAACAAAGCGCCCGUGAACCUGUACUGUCCAUUUAAACCUGGGUUUCCGAACACCUGACAAUGACUGCUUAACUUCUUGGCCAUUCUUUUCAUUCUUGGUUUCAUUUCUUCCUGGAGUGCUCAUCAUACUGGAGCUUAUGCCUUUUAAUCACC